UACAGAGGUCUCAAGCGUUGUUCGGAUUCAUUGGGCGUAAAGGGUGUGUAGGUGGCGCUGUAAGUCGGGUGUGAAAUUUCGGAGCUUAACUCCGAAACUGCAUUCGAUACUGCGGUGCUUGAGGACUGGAGAGGAGACUGGAAUUCAUGGUGUAGCAGUGAAAUGCGUAGAGAUCAUGAGGAAGACCAGUGGCGAAGGCGAGUCCCUGGACAACACCUGACACUGAGGCACGAAAGCUAGGGGAGCAAACAGG
RNAcentral lists this ribosomal RNA (253 nucleotides) under uncultured bacterium. RNAcentral describes it as "partial 16S ribosomal RNA". It matches the Rfam family "Bacterial small subunit ribosomal RNA", at positions 524 to 776 of the family's 1533-position model. The record is from RNAcentral.